GAGUGUGUAGCUCAAGUGGUAGAGUACAUUGCUUAGCAUGCAGCAGGUCCUGGGUUCAAUCCCCAGUACCUCCU
RNAcentral lists this transfer RNA (74 nucleotides) under Camelus bactrianus (Bactrian camel). It matches the Rfam family "tRNA". From Rfam's summary of the family: Transfer RNA (tRNA) molecules are approximately 80 nucleotides in length. Their secondary structure includes four short double-helical elements and three loops (D, anti-codon, and T loops). RNAcentral also lists the same sequence under 2 other names. The record is from Rfam by way of RNAcentral. Lineage: Eukaryota; Metazoa; Chordata; Mammalia; Artiodactyla; Camelidae.